Molecule: ribosomal RNA, 189 nt
Filed under: uncultured Anoxybacillus sp.
Lineage: Bacteria; Bacillati; Bacillota; Bacilli; Caryophanales; Anoxybacillaceae
Description: partial 16S ribosomal RNA
Rfam family: Bacterial small subunit ribosomal RNA
Source: RNAcentral
UCAUGCCCCUUAUGACCUGGCUACACACGUGCUACAAUGGGCGGUACAAAGGGUCGCGAACCCGCGAGGGGGAGCCAAUCCCAAAAAGCCGCUCUCAGUUCGGAUUGCAGGCUGCAACUCGCCUGCAUGAAGCCGGAAUCGCUAGUAAUCGCGGAUCAGCAUGCCGCGGUGAAUACGUUCCCGGGCCUU